AUUCCACGAAUAUUCCACAUCGUAGUUUUUCACGUUUCCCCCCGCUUGUUGAUCUCUUGCCACGUGAUCGUAGACUUCCCCUCUCCGCCAUCAUGCUACCAGUUUAGAAUAACCCGAAGCUCCGACAUCCUUACCAUUCGUGAAUUUAAUCUCGGAUAGUUCGCGUCAUUAUUGUAUUGUCCUCGUAAGCCCCAUUGAAAGCGCCGUAAGUUUCAUCAUGGAAGUUGCCAAAGUGAACGAUUCGAGCAGCAGCCUCAUCGAGCAAUCAAUGAAUGUAACGGCAGCAACGAAAUCCGUCUCGACAGUGAAAUCCGUACAGAGCGUCCAGACGAAGUCAAUUGUAGAGUCAUCGACCUCGGUUAAAUCCGUCUCUUCCUCAUCCAACAAAUCACAUCAAUCGGUGGAGUACGAGGAAUCGGUCGAGUAUAGCGAUUAGUGUGAUUAAAGUAAUAUAAAUCCUUUCAAUAAAAAAGACAUCACGCGGGGAAAAGCUAGAAACGCGAUAAUAUUCGGUUCGAUUUGAUUCAUCGUGUUUGAAGAUUCAUCUUCGGACGCUACUUGAUUCGAUUAUGCUAUUCCUUCUGCAAGAAAAAUAUUCACGUCAUAUCAGAAAUGAUAAAUUACUCGAAAUCACAUAAGCAUCGAAAGAAAAUCAACGACGGAAUUCCGUAACCUCUUCUCCAAUUUCUACCACGAGGAUCCACGAUCGAUAAUCGAACGGAAAUGGGAGAAUCGAAUUGACGGGUCAAGGCGUUCACUUGUCAGGGUUGUGCACCGAAAUAACGAGUUCGUCGCAGUCUCGCUAUGCGACGAGACGACGAGAAGAAAUACCACGAGUCAGAGGAGACGAAUGGAGAGGAACAAAUUGAAAAUGUGCCCGCGAAGGAAUGCUCGGAAGUCUCUGGCCCUCAUCCAAUCGAUGUGGUUCGCCGCCAAAUAGCAACUCAACAUUUCCUUCUUUCUUUCGAGUGUUUUUUUUUCCUAAUCGACACAUCGCUGUCAAUCCUUCGAGUAAGAGCGCUUGACAUAUGUGACUACUCAUUUAUCUUUGUAUAAUUAAAUUUUUAAGACAUUA
Long non-coding RNA from Formica exsecta, 1075 nucleotides. RefSeq lists it as uncharacterized. The record is from RefSeq and is a predicted model, not a curated record. Lineage: Eukaryota; Metazoa; Arthropoda; Insecta; Hymenoptera; Formicidae. The transcript has 2 exons.